CAAUAGCGUAUAUUAAAGUUGUUGCAGUUAAAAAGCUCGUAGUUGGAUUUGUGGUGUGUCCAGUCGGCCUUUGCUCUCUGAGUGAUUGUGCUGUACUGGUCUGCCAUGUUUGGGUGGAAUCUGUGUGGCAUUAAGUUGUCGUGCAGGGGAUGCCCAUCGUUUACUGUGAGAAAAUUAGAGUGUUCAAAGCAGGCUUAUGCCGUUGAAUAUAUUAGCAUGGAAUAAUGAUAUAGGACCUUGGUACUAUUUUGUUGGUUUGCGCACUAAGGUAAUGAUUAAGAGGGACAGUUGGGGGUAUUUGUAUUCCAUUGUCAGAGGUGAAAUUCUUAGAUUUUUGGAAGACAAACUACUGCGAAAGCAUUUACCAAGGAUGUUUUCAUUAA
This 383-nucleotide ribosomal RNA is filed under the name uncultured eukaryote. RNAcentral describes it as "partial 18S ribosomal RNA". It matches the Rfam family "Eukaryotic small subunit ribosomal RNA", at positions 592 to 976 of the family's 1831-position model. The record is from RNAcentral.